RNAcentral lists this ribosomal RNA (1044 nucleotides) under Triticum aestivum (bread wheat). RNAcentral's name for it is "partial small subunit ribosomal RNA". The record is from RNAcentral. Lineage: Eukaryota; Viridiplantae; Streptophyta; Magnoliopsida; Poales; Poaceae.
CGGUCCUGCUAUCGCAUGUUGAAAGAAAUCAAGAAAAGGAGAGAAGAUUGGCUUGAGGGGAAUGGUGGGAGCUCAGAUUUGGAAGCUAACAAGAAACAAUGGUGCAGAUUGUGGGGAGCUAGAAUACCAUCCAAGCUGAAGAAUUUUGGUUGGCGUCUUUCACAUAAUAGCAUCCCGACAGAAGGGAUGAGGUUCCAUAGACAUACGUCAGAAUCGAAUGUGUGCAAGAUUUGUGAGGGGGUUGUUGAUAGCUGGAAGCACUCCCUUAUUGAUUGUCAUAUGGCAAAGUGUGUAUGGGCCAUGUUGGAUGAAGAGUUGGUGGAGCACAUGAUAUCUAUCAGAUCGGAGGACGCCCGCUUAUGGCUGCAGGAGAUGCAACUUUCCUGUAAUGAAGAACAGUUUGUGAAGGCAAUAGUCACUCUCUGGUCCAUAUGGUGGGUGAGAAGGAAGGCAAUACAUGAAGAUCAAUACCAAUCACCUCAUUCCACCUUGUGUUUUAUCAACAAGUAUUUAGCUGAUCUAUCUCUAGUUCCUCGAAAGGUGUCUGUAACGCAGCAGAGAGGUGGAGCGCCGCAAAGUUCGUCUCAUCACCAGUUGAAGUGGAGUCCUCCUCCAGCAGGGUGGGCAAAGCUGAAUGUUGACGCUGCAAUAUCAAGAUGCGGGAACAAAGGAGCUGCUGCGGUGGUUUGCCGGGAUUACACCGGCUUGUAUCUGGGCGCUUCAGCACUCGUGACAGAGAACAUGACGGAUCUGGAGACGCUUGAGGCUAUGGCCUGCAAAGAGGGGCUAUGCUUGGCCCUCGACAUGAACUUGCGGCAUGUCCAAAUCAGCACAAAUUGUCUGGUAACAGUGAAGCAUGCAAACGAGGCGUUUCUGGGACCGAGCAAGGUGAUAGUAGACGAGAUUAAGGAGAUGCUGCAUUUAUUUCCUUACUCAGUGCUUGUUCAUGAAAAACGUGAAUGUAAUUUAGAAGCUCACAUGCUUGCUAAAGCUGCUACUUCAUUAGCCUGUGGUCGCCAUCUUUGGCUCACAGGAACCCCGAAC